CAGAGGAAAGAGCUUGUGAGAACACGGUGAGAAGGCGGCCAUCCGCAAGCCAAGGAGAGACGCCUCAGAAGAGACCAAACCCUGCUGGCAACUUGAUCGUGGACGUCCAGCCUCCAGAACUGUGAGAAAAUCAAUGUGUGUUGUUUGAGCUCCCCAGUCUAUGGUAUUUUCUUAUUGCAGCCCUAGCUAAUGAAUACACUCAGGUGGUGAAAGUAUGGGACGUUGAAACAGGAAUACUGUUGUCCGAUUUUAUUGAGGCUCAUGGCAAUGCUGGAAUCCGUUGUCUGACCUUUGACUCCAGUGGAAGAGGUCUAGUUACUGGAGGCAGAGAUGGCUGUCUGAAAAUAUGGGAGCUACAACAACAGACCUUGUCUUCACACCUUGAAACAUGGUGUAUCAUAGCUGUUGGAUGGGAUAGAAGAAUAAAUGUGUACUUUUCCCUGUCUAAAUGGGAAGAGGAGAUGAAAUGCCAUCCAUAAGCAUCUCUGUGGAAAAAAGAAAUCUUUUUUUACGGCUUAGAGAUGGGAAAAGGGAUUAAGAGACAGGGGAAGAUGAAAAUGCUGACUACAACUACGUUUUAAAUCUACCUGUGGCAUUUUAUGUUCCCUGCUUGCUCUGCUGGGUGGUCCUGGAUUUCCAAAGCCUUUAAACAUGGUUCCUGGGCUGACGGCUUUUGUUUUAGCUCAUGCAUCGCUACGGGUCUUAUUACAGAGGCGAAACUAUGCAGACCAUCCGAGAAGAGCUUGUCAGCUGGCAUAUGAUUUGCUGAAACGCAAUCAUCCAAACGUCAGGAGUGGAUUGCUGUUUAUUCCCACUGGCACUCGGGGAAUUUGCUUUGACAUUUCAAAAAUCUGCAUCACGGAUGGGGUGAGGGGUAGGGCUGUAAAAUGUGCCAGCGCCUCUCUCUGAAAUUGUGAGUGUGUUGGCAGCUCAUUUUACUGCUUGUACAACAUCUCCUGUUUGGCUUUGGAUACAGGACACACCUUGUGACUUUCACCACUUCCGGAAGCCAUAGCCACACUGGCAGGAUGACGUGGUGAGCCCUGGUCCACUGUCCGACUCUCCACCCAAACAGUGACACUUGAUGGGGAUGUCCUUCACUCCUGGGGCUCACCCUUAUUCUUCUGGGCCUGCCUAGGGUGGUCACAGCAUCUCAAGAGCCUCUGCUGUGGGGGGAUUCAUGAUUGGGGUCCAGGUAGAGUAAGGAGCACUGAGCUCCAGGCAGCUGCCUCUGCUCCAGGAAGAGUGAUGGCCUUUGUUCAGGCUGGGGCAGGAGGCCGAGGAGGAAAUCCCCACAGUUCUCCUUGAGCUCAGCCUGGAGCCCUGUAGUGUAGGAAUGGCAGCCCAGGAUGUGACGCAUGUGACUUUCUUCAAAGAAGCAUCCACUUCCUCUUCUGCUUGGCAUGCAAAACUGUAUGUAUUCACUCUGCCAUCCUUGGGUGGCCAGGGAACCUAGCAGAUGACAUUCCUGCUGCCCUGUGGCUUGUUAGGGGCUCAUAACCAGGGGACUUCUUGCGAUUCUUAUUAGCCCCCAAAUUUCUACAGCUUCCCAGGGUUGAAUGAUCUCCCUCAAAACUGUCUGGAUGUCAAGCCAUGAAGACAAGCAGUAAGAAAGGAAGGUCAUUGUGCACAACCAUUUCCCACCACCUAGCCGUACCUUAUGCCUCUGUAAAUAUUCCAAAAGCCACAAGUCACUAGAAUACAAACUCAAUGAAGACAGACCUUGUCUGUUUUCUCCACUGUAUUCCCGGGAUGUAGCUCAGGGCCUGGUUUAUAGUAGCUGCCCAACUAAUACGCUUCCAUUCAACCAGCAUGUGUCAAAUGUGGGCCCAGCCUGUGCUGUUCACUGAACAUCAGUGACGAGCAAAGUGGUCAUCACACGAUCCCUGCCUUCAUGGAGUUUGCAGAUGAGUGAUUGUUUUUUUGUUUUUUUGCGGUACGCGGGCCUCUCACUGUUGCGGCCUCUCCUGUUGCGGAGCACAGGCUCCGGACGCGCAGGCUCAGUGGCCAUGGCUCACGGGCCCAGCCGCUCCACGGCAUGUGGGAUCCUCCCGGACUGGGGCACGAACCCGUGUCCCCUGCAUCGGCAGGCGGACUGUCAACCACUGCGCCACCAGGGAAGCCCUGGAUGAGUGAUUGUUGAGUGAAAGAACAGAAUUUGCAGAAAAUGUCCCCAGGAAAGCCAUGGCCAUUGCAAGGGCAGAAGUCAUGCAAGAGUCAGUGAAGUGUUAGUUCAUUCAAAUGUUUUUUCAGUCACUUAUCAAUUCUUUCAACCCCCUAUUUAUCAAGCACUGACAUAGUGCCAUCCUUAGUGGGUAGGCACAGAAAAUACAAACAUGAAUAAAAUGUGAUUCCCGGCCCAGAAUCUCACAGACUGGCAAGGAGAUAAACUAAGGAAGUAAUCAUCAUACGAUGCAACAGAUGAUAUAAUAAUGUAUUAGUUAAUGUAAUAAUGUUUUAAUAAUAAUAUAAAAUGCUGGAGAAACCCAGAGGUGGGAACUACUAACUUUUGCUCUAACACUGUACAGGAUAUUAAAAGAUUACUAGGAUUUUUCUGGGAGGCCAAGGCAGUCUAGAUGAGGGGAAAGGAGGAGAGCGUGAACCAAGUCUGAGAAGCAUGUUGUUUGGAAGGACUAUGAAUAUUUUGAGGGGCUGGAGGACCACGUACAGGAGGGAAGUGAGCUUAGAAAGCUAAUCAGAACCUGAAAGCCAUGUCAAGGCACGUAAACUUCAUUCCGCAGGCAGUGGGGCCAGGGAAGGAGAAGCCCAGACACAAGCGCUCACAGAUUUCAGAAGGAGGCAGAAGAUCGUGGGGAGGAGAGGGCCACUGACCUGCUCUUUUCCAACUGUCCUACCCACCGUCCUCCCAGCUGCUUUCAAGCAGAAGGGGCUUCUUAGGUGACCACGGAUAGGUCCUCAAGGGACUCUCUGUGGGAAGUACCUGAGGGCAAGGGAGAAAGAUCUUUACAGCCCUGGGAAAAACCAAUUCUUUUCACAAAGAAACUGUACCCCGGUGAGAAAGUUGAAAGGAUAAUGGCCAGGGACUCUUUGAACUCUGCAGCACUGGUCUCAAAAACAAAAACAUUUUCAUUUCGUUUCUUAUCUUUCUUAAGGAUCCAUAUUCCUAAAUCCUCCUUUCAAGGAGAAUAGGCAAUUCCAAUUCCUAACAGCACUUGUAAGCCACAGUGCGGGGCAGAUGGGAGCCCUGGAGGAAUUGAGUUGAGGGACUCCACACCCUGGAAUUUAGACCUGGGGCUCUUGGGAGGCCAGACCCCCUUGGCCAGUGCUUGGGUUCCAUUGUCACAUUACCAUCAAGAUUUCAGCCCCGAAGAGGGUUCCUUGUGAAUAACCUCCUUGCCAGCAUUAUGGGGAGGUAAGGAAGCUGCUAGGAGUAACACCUCCCUGGGGAAGGUGAUAAAACUGACCCAAGGAGAUGCAGCACCUCUCUGGCUGACCUGCAAGCAGACUCCUACCUGGAGGGAUGCCCCUGACCCCCAGGACUGGGCCGGGCCACCAGGUUCCGCAAGAGUCCUUAAUGGGGGGCAGCCACAGGAGGGGCCCCUCUGUCUCCUCUGUCUUAGGCAUCCAAUGAAGGGGAGCGAGCUGUGGGUGACUGGGGACUGGAUUUCUUACUCUGUCUCUCUCUGUCCCUCUCUCUCUCUCUUUCCCAGAACCACGGGCAAAAGGAGGACAUCCUCUGUGUAGCUCAAUGCCCGCCUAUUCUCCUUGCCACCUCCAGCUACGACGGGGAGAUUAUCAUUUGGAAUGUCAUCUCAGGGCACAUGCACUGCAAGCUGAAUACCCCCAGCCCCUGUAAUGGCACAGAAUAUAGAGAACGUAGGGGCAGCGCGGCCUCCACAGCCACUAUGCCCAGGCCCGCAGCCUCUGACUCCUGGCAUGUUGUCUAAAGGAAACUCAGUUCUGGACUGCUUCCCGGUUAUAAGGGAUUGGCCUAGUUUCAGGCAUAACUUGUCAGA
This is a long non-coding RNA of Orcinus orca (killer whale), 3977 nucleotides long. RefSeq lists it as uncharacterized. Lineage: Eukaryota; Metazoa; Chordata; Mammalia; Artiodactyla; Delphinidae. The record is from RefSeq and is a predicted model, not a curated record. The transcript is spliced from 6 exons.